UGGGGAAUUUUGGACAAUGGGGGCAACCCUGAUCCAGCCAUGCCGCGUGUGUGAAGAAGGCCUUCGGGUUGUAAAGCACUUUCGGACGGAACGAAAUCGCGCGCGUUAACAACGCGCGUGGAUGACGGUACCGUAAGAAGAAGCACCGGCUAACUACGUGCCAGCAGCCGCGGUAAUACGUAGGGUGCGAGCGUUAAUCGGAAUUACUGGGCGUAAAGUGUGCGCAGGCGGCCGCGCAAGUCGAGUGUGAAAUCCCCGGGCUUAACUUGGGAAUUGCGCUCGAAACUAGGUGGCUGGAGUAUGGCAGAGGAAGGUGGAAUUCCACGUGUAGCGGUGAAAUGCGUAGAGAUGUGGAGGAACACCGAUGGCGAAGGCAGCCUUCUGGGCCAAUACUGACGCUCAUGCACGAAAGCGUGGGGAGCAAACAG
RNAcentral lists this ribosomal RNA (428 nucleotides) under uncultured bacterium. RNAcentral's name for it is "bacterial SSU rRNA". It matches the Rfam family "Bacterial small subunit ribosomal RNA", at positions 355 to 775 of the family's 1533-position model. The record is from RNAcentral.